RNAcentral lists this ribosomal RNA (1240 nucleotides) under metagenome. Its description in RNAcentral is "bacterial LSU rRNA". It matches the Rfam family "Bacterial large subunit ribosomal RNA", at positions 1564 to 2814 of the family's 2925-position model. The record is from RNAcentral.
UGAAUACGAGACGCUAAGGCGUUGAAGUAGUGUAUGUCAUACUUCCAAGAAAAGCUUGCACUGUCAUAGAUAAAAAACGCCUGUACCAUAACCGACACAGGUGGGUAGGUAGAGUAUACUAAGGGGCGCGAGAUAACUCUCUCUAAGGAACUCGGCAAAAUAACUCCGUAACUUCGGGAGAAGGAGUGCCUUAUUUAUAAGGCUGCAAUAACAAGAUCCAAGCAACUGUUUAUCAAAAACACAGGUCUCCGCUAAGUCGUAAGACGAUGUAUGGGGGCUGACGCCUGCCCAGUGCCAGAAGGUUAAAGAAGUUGGUUAGCAAUAGCGAAGCUGAUAACUGAAGCCCUGGUGAACGGCGGCCGUAACAAUAACGGUCCUAAGGUAGCGAAAUUCCUUGUCGGGUAAGUUCCGACCCGCACGAGAGGCGUAAUGAUUUGGAUACUGUCUCGGAGAGGGGCUCGGUGAAGUAGACUUGUCUGUGAAGAUGCGGACUACCUGCACCAGGACAGAAAGACCCUAUGAAGCUUUACUGUAACUUGAAAUUGAAAUUGGACUUUAUUCGCGCAGUAUAGGUGGGAGGCGUUGAUUGUAAUCUUGCGGGAUUAUUGGAGCCAUCAGUGAGAUACCACCCUUGUAAUGUUAGAUUUCUAACUUUGAAUCAUUAUCUGGUCAAAGAACAGUUUCAGGCGGGCAGUUUGACUGGGGCGGUCGCCUCCUAAACGGUAACGGAGGCGUACAAAGGUUUCCUCUGAACGGUUAGAAAUCGUAUCUAGAGUGUAAAGGCAUAAGGAAGCUUGACUGUGAGACCUACAAGUCGAGCAGGGACGAAAGUCGGUCUUAGUGAUCUGACGGUACUGAGUGGAAAGGCCGUCACUCAACGGAUAAAAGUUACUCUAGGAUAACAGGCUGAUCUCCCCCAAGAGUUCACAUCGACGGGGAGGUUUGGCACCUUGAUGUCGGCUCAUCGCAUCCUGGGGCGGUAGUACGUCCCAAGGGUUGGGCUGUUCGCCCAUGAAAGCGGUACGCGAGCUGGGUUCAGAACGUCGUGAGACAGUUCGGUCCAUAUCCGGUGUAGGCGUUAGAAUAUUGAGAGGAGCCUUCUUUAGUACGAGAGGACCGAGAAGGACAUACCUCUGGUGUACCAGUUAUCGUGCCAACGGUAAACGCUGGGUAGCUAUGUAUGGAGUGGAUAGCCGCUGAAAGCAUCUAAGUGGGAAGCCCACCUCAAGAUAAGUAUUCU